GGAUUUCGCAAUCACGACUACAUAACACUGCAGCAGCUUGGUUCACUGUUGUAGCUGUGUGGGAGAAGUUACAGUACAACCAGAAAUUAUUGAGAAUUUAAAGAUGUUGAGUGCUGUGGGUCUGGACUACAGCGGAGCUGGCCAGGAAGAGGAGGGCGCUCCACUGGAUGACUUGUGGCCACUGACCCCAUCUAGGGUUUUUUCCGUUUGAAGUUCAAAUUCAAUAGAUCUGUAUGAUCUGAUUAAAUGUUUUUCCUUUA
Haliotis rubra (blacklip abalone) is the source of this 260-nucleotide long non-coding RNA. RefSeq lists it as uncharacterized. The record is from RefSeq and is a predicted model, not a curated record. Lineage: Eukaryota; Metazoa; Mollusca; Gastropoda; Lepetellida; Haliotidae. The transcript has 2 exons.